RNAcentral lists this transfer RNA (91 nucleotides) under Micromonospora parathelypteridis. RNAcentral describes it as "tRNA-Leu". The record is from RNAcentral. Lineage: Bacteria; Bacillati; Actinomycetota; Actinomycetes; Micromonosporales; Micromonosporaceae.
CUGUUGAGGCGCUGGUGGGGCGGUGGCGUGCUGAGGGUGUGCGGGUGCGCCGCUUGGCGGUGAGUCACGCGUUCCAUUCGCAUUUGAUGGA